Daphnia pulicaria is the source of this 777-nucleotide long non-coding RNA. RefSeq lists it as uncharacterized. Lineage: Eukaryota; Metazoa; Arthropoda; Branchiopoda; Diplostraca; Daphniidae. The record is from RefSeq and is a predicted model, not a curated record. The transcript has 3 exons.
UAACACACCUGUCGAUAAAUCUUCAAAAGUGAUUUUCGUUACCGUAAUUGAUGGUGAGGUUAAUACUCAAUACGAUAUUGUUUUGCAGAAAAGAAUUCCUGACAAAGAUGAAACAAACGAUCUUGAGAAAAUUGCUGACGUCUUAAAAAGAAAAAAGUAAGGCCCUAAAACACGUGUUUCUCUCGUGCGAAAACUUUUGUUUUCAGAAAGAAAGCGAACUACGACCCAAUAAUUGGGUUGUAAUUGGUGACGAUUCGCCUGUAAAGGACAGAAGUGAAUUGAGGUGCGUCGUAAUGAAACCGAAAUUCGAUUUCAGUAGUGUGGAAGCCAUUGUUCAAUUAUCUGACAUACCGGAUGAAGAACCAAAUUUGUCCAUUGUUAGACAUUCUACGGCAUUGUUGGGAGAUGUUCCUAGUCUAAACCUUUCACUGCCAGAAGAAGACACUUCUCAAAACAGUUAUUUCAUCAAAAAAACUACUGAGAAACAAGUACAACCACUGAAAAGAAAGACUGCUUGUAUUAGUUCUAGUGAUAGCAGCAGUGAAUAAUCAGAUGAUGGGUAGCGUAUCAAUUCCCAACUGUUAACAGUAUCUGAAAGAGUGAACAGAGAGUGUGUACGACUAAAUUCUGCUUCUACUGAGAAACAAGUACAACCACUGAAAAGAAAGACUGCUUGUAUUAGUUCUAGUGAUAGCAGCAGUGAAGAAUCAGAUGAUGGUCAGCGUAUCUAUUCCCAACUUUUUACAGUAUCUGAAAGAGUGAACAGAGAGUGUGUAC